This 2115-nucleotide ribosomal RNA is filed under the name Triticum aestivum (bread wheat). RNAcentral's name for it is "partial small subunit ribosomal RNA". Lineage: Eukaryota; Viridiplantae; Streptophyta; Magnoliopsida; Poales; Poaceae. The record is from RNAcentral.
AUGGAGGAUGAAGAAAACAUCGAGGAAGAACUUUUGCUGGUGGAGUCGCAACUCAAUGGACUACAAGACAAAAUCAAGACAUUACUUGAUCAGCAAGAAGAAUUGUAUGAGCGCCAAGCACAGUUGAAGGCUAUGCUGGAAAUAUCUAAAACUUCCAGAGAUGCAUCAAAUAGUGCCCCUUCAGUUGCUCUGGAAGAUUGGUCUGGAAAGUUCUCAUGGGAUUCUCAGGCUGAUGACACUCGAUUCAAUGUAUUUGGUAUUUCUUCCUACAGGUCAAAUCAACGAGAAAUAAUUAACUCAAUCAUGAGUGGAAAAGAUGUUCUGGUUAUAAUGGCUGCUGGUGGAGGGAAGAGUCUGUGUUAUCAACUUCCAGCUGUACUUCGUGAUGGAAUUACACUUGUCGUCAGUCCUUUGCUUUCGCUUAUUCAGGAUCAGGUCAUGGGACUGGCGGCUUUAGGUAUACCAGCUCACAUGUUGACUUCCACUACCAACAAGGAAAUCGAGAAGUUCAUUUAUAAGGCACUUGAAAAAGGUGAAGGGGAAUUGAAGAUAUUGUAUGUGACACCUGAAAAGAUAUCCAAAAGUAAAAGGUUCAUGUCUAAGCUUGAGAAAUGCCAUCAUGCUGGGCGUCUUUCUCUUGUUGCAAUAGAUGAGGCACACUGCUGCAGCCAAUGGGGGCACGAUUUCCGUCCAGACUACAAGAAUCUGGGCAUAUUGAAGAUCCAGUUUCCCAGUGUUCCCAUGAUAGCUUUAACUGCAACUGCAACAAGUAAAGUGCAAAUGGAUCUGAUAGAGAUGCUUCAUAUCCCAAGAUCUGUCAAGUUUGUCAGCACUGUUAACAGGCCCAACCUUUUCUAUAGAGUAUAUGAAAAGUCAUCAGUUGGAAAGGUUGUUAUUGAUGAGAUUGCAAAUUUCAUAAGCGAAUCAUAUCCAAAUAACGAAUCCGGGAUAGUGUAUUGUUUUUCCAGGAAAGAAUGUGAACAGGUUGCCAAAGAAUUGCGUGGAAGGGGUAUUUCAGCAGAUUAUUAUCAUGCAGAUAUGGAUGUUGUUGCUCGUGAGAAAGUUCAUAUGCGUUGGAGUAAAAGCAAAUCACAGGUCAUUGUUGGAACAGUGGCUUUUGGAAUGGGAAUCAAUAAACCAGACGUCAGGUUUGUGGUUCAUCAUAGCCUUAGCAAAUCUAUGGAGACAUACUACCAGGAAAGUGGUCGGGCAGGGAGAGAUGGACUGCCUUCAGAAUGUGUUCUAUAUUAUCGGCCUGGUGACGUUCCCCGCCAAAGUUCGAUGGUCUUCUAUGAAAACUGUGGUCUGCAAAAUCUUUAUGACAUAGCGCGAUAUUGCCAGUCUAAGAAAAACUGCCGUCGUGGUGCUUUCUUUCAACAUUUUGGAGAGGCCGUGCAGGAAUGCAACGGAAUGUGUGACAACUGUGUUUCCAGUAUUGAGCUCAAGGACAUAGAUGCUACCUACCAUACAAAAAUCACUGUUUCACUUCUCCAAGAAAUGCAACAAAAUGACCAAAGAGCUACAUUGCUGCAGCUAGUGGAUAAGUUCAAAACAAAGUGGAAACAUUCAGCAGGUUGUUCAAAUGAAGCAGUUGAUCUUAAGAAGGAGGAAAUUGAGCAGCUGAUAGUUCAACUUAUACUUGACCGUGUUUUGAAAGAAGAAUUUCAGCAUACUGCAUAUACAACCAAUGCAUAUGUUGUCUUAGGACCACUGUGGAAGCCAGCAUUGCAAGGGAACAGACCGGUGAAGCUAACUAGUGCUAUUCACUCUCAAGAUAGUGGUGAUAGAUUCAAAAGUGCAAAGCGCAAUCAGAUGAGCAAUUUGGAAGCUAAAUUGGAUGACCUGCGUAGAACCAUCUCUUCUCGUAAUGGGGGCAUAUUCCCGCAUGCAGUUCUUUCCACGGAGCAAAUUUCCCUGCUAAACUGCCAUACUCCAACCACUAUUGCCGAGCUAGAAAAGCUGAUAGGGAAGGUAAAGACCGACAAGUACGGUAGCGACAUCAUUGAGGUGAUGUGGUCAGAAACUGGCAGUGGAAAGGACAGUGGUGAUGGAGCUAAGAGGCAAAAGAAAGAUAAGGGUGUUGUUUUCGUUGAGAGUGGCGAGGAGGAAGGCUAG